CGCGCACAAGUCGCUCCUUCUUGCUCCUUUCGUUUUUUUUUCCUUCUCAGUUUUUGUUUUUUUUAUUUGUUAUGCAUAUACACCUACGAGUUGCUUUCGGUCGUCCUGCUCCUUCAUCAUGCCUCCGUCUCUCACCUCCCCCUCCCCGUGUGCAAACAUUUUUCUUUGGGUGGAGGAGUUGGAGCUGUGGAACAAGAGGUACACAUGUUUCUCUGGCAGGGAACAUUUCGUCGGACGGCCACGACCUCACCAAAAAAAUCAUCAUCAUGGAAUCUAUACCUUUUUUUUGUGGUUCUAUAUAUUUAGACGUUUUUUUAUACAUGUAUGUAUACGGGCUAUGCGAUGCUGUCAGUACAAGGUCAUGUUGUUAGCUCAUAUACGCAGGAAAAUACUGGAG
Molecule: unclassified non-coding RNA, 397 nt
Filed under: Zea mays
Lineage: Eukaryota; Viridiplantae; Streptophyta; Magnoliopsida; Poales; Poaceae
Description: misc RNA Zm00001eb265060
Source: RNAcentral